Pseudophryne corroboree (corroboree frog) is the source of this 880-nucleotide long non-coding RNA. RefSeq lists it as uncharacterized. The record is from RefSeq and is a predicted model, not a curated record. The transcript has 3 exons. Lineage: Eukaryota; Metazoa; Chordata; Amphibia; Anura; Myobatrachidae.
AGGGAAAGAGAGGGAGUGAAGAGGUGAGUGUGGGAGAGAGAGAGAGAGAGAGAGUGAGUAGGGAGGGGGCAGAAGGAAAGACAGGCAGACAGCAAGGGCAAAGAGCCAGGGACAGGAAUACAGGGACAAAAGAACGAGUCUACAUUUAGCAUAAUAAUAAUAAUUAUACAGGGAUUAAGUAGCUGGUGAGAGGUACACACGUAAAUAAAAUAAGAGCUGAGACAACAGGGAAUGUAUUUACAUAACUAAAAUAAUAUGUACUAAAAUAAUAGCUCUGUAUAUGCUACAAGUGUCAGUGCAAAAUAAUACAAUAAAGAAAGCGAAAGAAGAAUACAAUAGGGUAAGGCAAAAUUUACAGGGAUUUGCAGAAAUGCGUAAUGCAAAGUAUACAUGAGCACAGAACAUUAGCUAGACUGGAUUAGGGAUAAAUAUACAUCCAAAAGGCUAUAAGGAAACCAUACUGCACCAACAGACUGAAUAUCAAGAGGAACUGCACCAUACAAUCAUUUGGGAACUAGCAUCACUUUGUUUGGAUACUUGGAUUCCAUUUGACUACCCUGCAAAACCGUGAUUUAAGAGCAUGUCUACAGCAGUGUCCUCUACGACGAUGGACAGAGAAGGGGGGCGCACAGGCUGGGCCUUCAAGAACCCACUGACAGGUGUACGCUGGAAGCGACUGGAGGAGCCAUUAGGAUUUAUUAAACUGCUGGAAUGGCUCUUUGCUAUCUUUGCCUUCGGAACUUGUGGUUCAUACAGUGGAGAAACAGCAGCAGUCGUGAUGUGUGCAGUUUCGGACACACAGACAGACACAGAUCUUAUCUCUGUAGCCUUUUCUUACCCGUUCAGGUAACACCUAGACCUUUCAUCUACAUUUUAACUA